UUUCCAAUGCAACAGGUUCGAUGAAAAUAAGACUCCCUUUCAAGAUGUAAAACUGGAGUCAAUGGAAAAUAGAAACCAAAUGAAGUGAAGAGUACUCAGGGUGCGUGUUACCGGGCUGCCACAGGCUGAGCUAGGCUCACAAGAAGACUUGUAAAGAGUCCACACAAGGUCCAUGGUAUCAGGUCCACCCCUGAGUCUGAGAUGCAGGAAAUCUCCACUGAUGAGUUAAGGCAGGUAGGAUCUCACCAGACAGAGAUGGAAGAAGAUACACUAGGAAAUCAAAGUAGUAAUGAGCAAAGAAAGCAGAAAAUGGGUAUCACCAGCUUAAUAUCACAUAGUGCAAUCCUGCUGGUUUAACAAAGUGUACGUUAAAUGAUGAAAGUUGCUUGAAAGUUAGCCUUAGGCAAUCUGAAGAGUGACUUUUUGACAAGCAGUGGGGACCCGACUAAAGUUUUGGAAGGGCAAGCAGAGCUAGUGAAAGACCCUGUGCUAGGGAAUUCUUUCCUCCACUUCUUCCAGAAUAUCAGUACGGGAUGCAGCCUUAGAAAUUGUCCUUAAAAAUAAAAUAGCUAAGGAUCAGAGGAGAAUUCACUGCAGGUUGGGAGGCUUGAAACAAAGUGAUCACAACUAUGCUGGUUAGAAGUAUCUUCUAAAGCUUACUUGAAAGAAAAUUGCCAUCACCAAGUAGCUCUAGAGAAACAGUAUCGUCAGUGUAACUAUGGCUCUUACUUUAGUCCAUUUGAAAUUGUUGUAUCUAGUUUGAUGUUUUUAAAUAAUGAUCCCUUGUGAACAGGAAAAAAAAACUCAGAGAAAUGGCCCCAAACUCAGGCCAGAAGACUAAUACAACAUAUCAAUCAUGAUACACACAAAAUAUAUUUCCAAAACAUAGGCAAAUUUCUUUUAGUAGACUAACAUACCCCAGACCCAAACUGUAAGCUGGCUACAUUCACUAGCAUACUAACAUACAUGUAUUCAUUUCUUACGGUGCUAUCAUCCAAAAGGAAAAUGAUUAGGCUGGAGAAGCAUGCAUGCUGACUGAAGAAAGAUACACUGUGCAUACAAAACUAUCUAAGGAAUCGUUUCAACAUACUUCUGCACUGUGUGUAUUGGAUUCCAACAUUUUGCAGAACGGUGCCCAUAAUACAUAGAAUUAAAGGCUCCAGAAAGUCUGCAAUAAAGCAAUAAACUUAAAAA
Phyllostomus discolor (pale spear-nosed bat) is the source of this 1194-nucleotide long non-coding RNA. RefSeq lists it as uncharacterized. The transcript is spliced from 2 exons. The record is from RefSeq and is a predicted model, not a curated record. NCBI's taxonomy places the organism in Eukaryota, Metazoa, Chordata, Mammalia, Chiroptera, Phyllostomidae.